This 253-nucleotide ribosomal RNA is filed under the name uncultured bacterium. Its description in RNAcentral is "partial 16S ribosomal RNA". It matches the Rfam family "Bacterial small subunit ribosomal RNA", at positions 524 to 776 of the family's 1533-position model. The record is from RNAcentral.
UACGUAGGGUGCGAGCGUUAAUCGGAAUUACUGGGCGUAAAGCGUGCGCAGGCGGUUCGUGAUGUCUGAUGUGAAAGCCCCGGGCUCAACCUGGGAAUGGCAAUGGAAACUGGCGGGCUCGAGUGUGGCAGAGGGGGGUGGAAUUCCGCGUGUAGCAGUGAAAUGCGUAGAGAUGCGGAGGAACACCGAUGGCGAAGGCAGCCCCCUGGGCUAACACUGACGCUCAGGCACGAAAGCGUGGGGAGCAAACAGG